GAUCCUGGCUCAGGAUGAACGCUAGCUACAGGCUUAACACAUGCAAGUCGAGGGGAAACGAUAUUGGAAGCUUGCUUCCGAUAGGCGUCGACCGGCGCACGGGUGAGUAACGCGUAUCCAACCUGCCCAUCACUUGGGGAUAACCUUGCGAAAGUAAGACUAAUACCCAAUGAUAUCUCUAGAAGACAUCUGAAGGAGAUUAAAGAUUUAUCGGUGAUGGAUGGGAAUGCGU
RNAcentral lists this ribosomal RNA (232 nucleotides) under uncultured bacterium. RNAcentral describes it as "partial 16S ribosomal RNA". It matches the Rfam family "Bacterial small subunit ribosomal RNA", at positions 15 to 236 of the family's 1533-position model. The record is from RNAcentral.